This 716-nucleotide ribosomal RNA is filed under the name uncultured archaeon. RNAcentral describes it as "bacterial SSU rRNA". It matches the Rfam family "Archaeal small subunit ribosomal RNA", at positions 106 to 805 of the family's 1478-position model. The record is from RNAcentral.
AACCUGCCCUUGGGACGGGGACACCCCCGGGAAACUGGGGUUAAUCCCCGAUAGGCGAAGAACUCUGGAAUGAAUCUCCACCUAAAAGGCGCUUGCGCUAUGCUCGCAGGUGUCGCCCAAGGAUGGGGCCGCGACCGAUCAGGUUGUUGGUGAGGUAAUGGCUCACCAAGCCUUUUACCGGUGCGGGCCGUGGGAGCGGGAGCCCGGAGAUGGGCACUGAGACAAGGGCCCAGGCCCUACGGGGCGCAGCAGUCGCGAAAACUCUGCAAUACACGAAAGUGUGACAGGGCUAUCCCGAGUGCCAUCCGCUGAGGAAGGCUUUUACCCAGUUUAGAACGCUGGGAGAAUAAGGAGAGGGCAAGACUGGUGUCAGCCGCCGCGGUAAUACCAGCUCUUCGAGUGGUGUGGAUGUUUAUUGGGCCUAAAGCAUCCGUAGCUGGCUGGGCAAGUCCCCUGUUAAAUCCACCGAUUUAAUCGUUGGAGUGCGGGGGAUACUGCUCGGCUAGGGGACGGGAGAGGCAGACGGUAUUUUCGGGGUAGGGGUGAAAUCCUAUAAUCCCGAGAGGACCACCAGUGGCGAAGGCUGUCUGCUAGAACGCGCCCGACGGUGAGGGAUGAAAGCUGGGGGAGCGAACCGGAUUAGAUACCCGGGUAGUCCCAGCUGUAAACGAUGCAGGCUAGGUGUUUGGACGGCCACGUGCCGUUCUAGUGCCGCA